This 424-nucleotide ribosomal RNA is filed under the name uncultured bacterium. RNAcentral describes it as "bacterial SSU rRNA". It matches the Rfam family "Bacterial small subunit ribosomal RNA", at positions 356 to 773 of the family's 1533-position model. The record is from RNAcentral.
GGGGAAUCUUGCGCAAUGGGCGAAAGCCUGACGCAGCGACGCCGCGUGGGUGAUGAAGGCCUUCGGGUUGUAAAGCCCUGUGGAGGGGGACGAAUAAGUGUCGGCCAAUACCCGGCACGAUGACGGUACCCCUUUAGCAAGCACCGGCUAACUCUGUGCCAGCAGCCGCGGUAAGACAGAGGGUGCGAACGUUGUUCGGAAUUACUGGGCGUAAAGGGCGUGUAGGCUGCCUCAAAAGUCGGAUGUGAAAUCCCUGGGCUCAACCCAGGAAGUGCAUUCGAAACUCUGAGGCUUGAGUUCCGGAGGGGAAGGCGGAAUUCUCGGUGUAGAGGUGAAAUUCGUAGAUAUCGAGAGGAACACCGGUGGCGAAGGCGGCCUUCUGGACGGAUACUGACGCUGAGACGCGAAAGCGUGGGGAGCAAAC